CGCGGAUUAGUGAAAGGGUAUCACAUCGGUCUCCUUAGCCGAAGUUAUAGGUUCGACUCCUAUGUCCGCAA
RNAcentral lists this transfer RNA (71 nucleotides) under Anaerostipes caccae. Its description in RNAcentral is "tRNA-Arg". It matches the Rfam family "tRNA". Rfam says of the family: Transfer RNA (tRNA) molecules are approximately 80 nucleotides in length. Their secondary structure includes four short double-helical elements and three loops (D, anti-codon, and T loops). Lineage: Bacteria; Bacillati; Bacillota; Clostridia; Lachnospirales; Lachnospiraceae. RNAcentral also lists the same sequence under 3 other names. The record is from RNAcentral.